AACGAACGCUUGCGGCGCGCCUAAUACAUGCAAGUCGAACGAACCAGCAAUGGUGAGUGGCGCACGGGUGAGUAACGCGUGGAUAAUCUGCCCUCUACUGGGGAAUAACUAACCGAAAGGUUAGCUAAUACCGCAUGAGACCACGAUCCCUGAGGGGAACGAGGUUAAAGAUUUAUCGGUAGAGGAUGAGUCUGCGUGGGAUUAGCUAGUUGGUGGGGUAACGGCCGUACCAAGGCACGAUCUCUAACAGGUACUGAGAGGAUGACCUGUCACACUGGAACUGAGACACGGUCCA
RNAcentral lists this ribosomal RNA (295 nucleotides) under uncultured bacterium. RNAcentral describes it as "partial 16S ribosomal RNA". It matches the Rfam family "Bacterial small subunit ribosomal RNA", at positions 29 to 333 of the family's 1533-position model. The record is from RNAcentral.